This is a small nucleolar RNA of Amazona collaria (yellow-billed parrot), 132 nucleotides long. Lineage: Eukaryota; Metazoa; Chordata; Aves; Psittaciformes; Psittacidae. The record is from Ensembl.
UGACAUGUUAUUCAGCAAAUAGACACAACUCACUGUGUGCCUGAAUUGAAGAAUGUGGCUGGAAAAGGAACAGAUUGUGCUUUCCUCACUGCAUAGUUAGUUGCAGUGGUGACAAUGAGACCUGUAACAGGU